Lolium rigidum is the source of this 881-nucleotide long non-coding RNA. RefSeq lists it as uncharacterized. The record is from RefSeq and is a predicted model, not a curated record. The transcript has 4 exons. Lineage: Eukaryota; Viridiplantae; Streptophyta; Magnoliopsida; Poales; Poaceae.
GCCAACAGUGCAUAGGAGGGGCAUAUGUUCAAGCAACUGCGUGCUGGUUGCUGUUUGACAAAAUAUGUGAAAAGCACAAGCUUUGGCACUAUGUAUUUACAUGUGUGCAUAUAUUUGAGACAUGGGAUUUUUUAUUCGCGUGUUUGCUGCAGUAACGAAGAAAAUAAAAGAGCUUGCUCCCCGGCUUCUGAAGUCUGAAAGAGCCCCAGUUUCCGGUAGAUGUGCUGCUUGAUCAUUUGGUCGACAUGUGGCUCUUGUGUUCGUACUCUGACGGACAAGGAGCACAAAGCGACUCAAAAGGUGGAAUAUCAAAUUGAAGGUCUCAAUGCAGUAAGCUUGACAAAGAAUAUAAAGGGACUUCAAGAAGUGAUGCUCUAUCUCUUAUACAUUUGUCUUCAAAAACAUAGGAAAUGCUGUGCGAGAAAAAAAGAACACUCAGCCAGGCAGGCGCUUAACUUCUUAUGAAUUUUAAGCAAUUCUUUUUGUGAUUACAUGGGACACACUGCUAAUUGUAAUUACUUUACCUCUUCAACUGUAUUGUAGGUUUAGAUACAGGAUAAAGGCAUGCAAGAUGAGGAGGAUUUGAGAUUCACCAACAGAAAAAUGUGUUAUAAGUUCACUGCAUGAUUUCCAUAAUGGAUAAUUCGUAUGGAUAACUGAGUGCAGUGAAAUCUUUAUACACCUUAGGCAUACUAAAACCUAGAGUUUUCCAUUGAUAAGACCAAGCGUCACUCUCAAUGAGCUAUAGAUAAAGAAAUGUGAUAUUUCAUUCUUGGAAUGUCAGUUUGCCUGGACAUGAUGGAAAUACCUGUGACAGAUUUCCAAGCUACAGAUUUGUUCGUGGUACCAUUAAGUUACGUCGGUUGUCCCUUUCCAUAUGG